This 534-nucleotide ribosomal RNA is filed under the name Triticum aestivum (bread wheat). Its description in RNAcentral is "partial small subunit ribosomal RNA". Lineage: Eukaryota; Viridiplantae; Streptophyta; Magnoliopsida; Poales; Poaceae. The record is from RNAcentral.
AUGUGCAUUCCGAAGAAAAGUGGUGGUAUGGGUUUCCGUGAUAUACACAUUCAUUUGGCACUUCUAGCCAAGCAAUGCUGGAGACUCAUUGAGCAUCAUCACUCGCUAUGUGCGAGGGUUUUGCGUGAGAAAUAUUACCCAAAUGGUGAAUUACUGAACUGCAGUUUGAAGAAAGGUUCUUCCUAUGUGUGGCAGAGUAUUUUGGCGGGAGCUCAGACUUUCAAGAAAGGAAGCAUUUGGAGGGUGGGUAAUGGCCUUAAAAUAAAUAUAUGAGAGGACUGUUGGGUGCCGAACAGCUCCUCCAGGAAAAUUGUCAGUACACGCGGAAAUAGAGUGCUUACCCGAGUUAAAGAACUUAUUGAUCCAGUAUCCGGAGAGUGGGAUGAGAAUCUUAUCAGAGGAAUUUUUUGGCCCAUUGAUGUUGAUCGCAUACCACAAAUUCCAUUACAUCAGGAUGAUACUGAGUAUUAUGUGGCAUGGCACUUGACGAAGACGGGAAUAUUCAGUGUACGAUCUGCCUAUUAUAAACAGUAG